CCUACGGGUGGCAGCAGUGGGGAAUAUUGGGCAAUGGGCGCAAGCCUGACCCAGCAACGCCGCGUGAAGGAAGACGGCUUUCGGGUUGUAAACUUCUUUUUUCAGGGACGAAGAAAGUGACGGUACCUGAGGAAUAAGCCACGGCUAACUACGUGCCAGCAGCCGCGGUAAUACGUAGGCGACAAGCGUUAUCCGGAUUUACUGGGUGUAAAGGGCGUGUAGGCGGGACUGCAAGUCAGAUGUGAAAACCACGGGCUCAACCUGUGGCCUGCAUUUGAAACUGUAGUUCUUGAGUGCUGGAGAGGCAGGCGGAAUGCCUGGUGUAGCGGUGAAAUGCGUAGAUAUUAGGAGGAACACCGGUGGAGAAGGCAGUCUGCUGGACAGCAACUGACGCUGAGGCGCGAAAGCGUGGGGAGCAAACAGGAUUAGAUACCCGGGUAGUC
Molecule: ribosomal RNA, 443 nt
Filed under: uncultured bacterium
Lineage: Bacteria
Description: partial 16S ribosomal RNA
Rfam family: Bacterial small subunit ribosomal RNA
Source: RNAcentral